AUAUUGGACAAUGGGCGAAAGCCUGAUCCAGCCAUGCCGCGUGAGUGAUGAAGGCCCUAGGGUUGUAAAGUUCUUUCACCGGUGAAGAUAAUGACUGUAACCGGAUAAGAAGCCCCGGCUAACUUCUUGCCAGCAGCCGCGGUAAUACGCAGGGGGCUAGCGUUGUUCGGAAUUACUGGGCGUAAAGCGCACGUAGGCGGAUUGUUAAGUUAGGGGUGAAAUCCCGGGGCUCAACCCCGGAACUGCCUUUAAUACUGGCGAUCUAGAGUCCGAGAGAGGUGAGUGGAAUUCCGAGUGUAGAGGUGAAAUUCGUAGAUAUUCGGAGGAACACCAGUGGCGAAGGCGGCUCACUGGCUCGGUACUGACGCUGAGGUGCGAAAGCGUGGGGAGCAAAC
RNAcentral lists this ribosomal RNA (395 nucleotides) under uncultured bacterium. Its description in RNAcentral is "bacterial SSU rRNA". It matches the Rfam family "Bacterial small subunit ribosomal RNA", at positions 361 to 773 of the family's 1533-position model. The record is from RNAcentral.